GCAAACUUGGUCAUUUAGAGGAAGUAAAAGUCGUAACAAGGUUUCCGUAGGUGAACCUGCGGAAGGAUCAUUACUGAGUUAUUGGAGAUUCAUCUCCUAAACUCCCACCCUGUUUACAUUCUUUGUUGCUUUGGCGGUUUAGGAUUUCGGUCCACCGCCGCCAGAGACAUUUUAAAACUCUGUUAUAAAUUGAAGUCUAAGUCUUAAAUUAAACAAGUCAAAACUUUCAACAACGGAUCUCUUGGUUCCCGCAUCGAUGAAGAACGCAGC
RNAcentral lists this unclassified non-coding RNA (270 nucleotides) under uncultured fungus. RNAcentral describes it as "partial contains small subunit ribosomal RNA, internal transcribed spacer 1, and 5.8S ribosomal RNA". The stretch from base 1 to 73 matches the Rfam family "Eukaryotic small subunit ribosomal RNA", at positions 1759 to 1831 of the family's 1831-position model. Lineage: Eukaryota; Fungi. The record is from RNAcentral.